AAACCUACACACCUUCCACUCAACAAAACAUCUGAGAAAACGUCAUAAAUUCGCGCAUGCGCACUGGGGAAAACAGAGGAACUAAAUUCUCCGGAACACCUGUUGUGCUGCGCAGAAGUUAUUUAGGUUCAGAUAUUCUUCAUCACAAGAUUAGCAGCAGCUCAGCAGGAAGAGGAAAAUUACACAGCUUCAGUAUGAACCCAAACUUUCCAAAUCAGCCUGGACAGCCUCCUUAUGGUAACAUACCGUACCCACCUUCACAGCCAAACCAGCCGGGGUAUGGUGGCCCAGGAUCAUAUCCAGGUGGGCCAUGCAAUCCUCCCAUGGGUCCAGGAUCAUAUCCAGGUGGGCCAUGCAAUCCUCCCACGGGCCCAGGAUCAUAUCCAGGUGGGCCAUGCAAUCCUCCCACGGGCCCAGGAUCAUAUCCAGGUGGGCCAUGCAAUCCACCAACGGGCCCAGGAUCAUAUCCAGGUGGGCCAUGCAAUCCACCCACGGGCCAAGGAUACGGUCCCGGCUAUAGUCCCGGGCCUGGCUAUGGUCCCGGGCCUGGUUAUGGUCCCGGGCCUGGCUAUGGUCCCGGUCAUGGGCCUGGUCAUGGUUGUGGGCACGGUCAUGGGCACGGUCAUGGGCAUGGCAAACAUGGGAAGAAACAUGGGAAGAAACAUGGAAAGGGUGGCAAGGCGCUGAGCCCUACAGUACCGCGACGUAAAAAGCGGCUGCCGAUACUACACCACCCGGUCAACAAAACACCUGAGGAAACGUCAUGGGUUCGCGCAUGCGCACUGACGGGGAAACAGGAACUAAAUUCUCCAGAACACUUGUGCUGCGUAGAAGUUGUUUAGGUUCAGGUAUUCUUCAUCAUCAAGAUCAGCAGGAAGGAAGGAGUCUCAUACUACCAGCAGCAUGAACCCAAGCUAUCCAUAUGGUCCUUAUCCUCCUUUCCCAGGCCAAUGCCCACCAUCAUCACAGCCAGGAUGGGGAGGUCCCUAUAAUCCACCAGUCAACCAAGGCUUUUUUCCAGCAGGACAUGGGCCUUUUCAUUCACACGGACAUCAUAAUGGUCAUGGGCCUCAUCAUGUGCUUGGGCAUCCUCAUGGCUUUGGGCCUCACCAUGGGCCUCACCAUGGGCAUCACCAUGGGCCUCACCAUGGGCAUCACCAUGGACAUCACCACGGCCAUGGACAUUGCUAACAUGGCAAAAACUAAAGUGCAUGGACCUCUAGGAGCCAAUGCAGUCUGUGGUGACUGAAGAGUGAAUGAAGAUCCUCUUCACAUGGAAUAAACAAGCUGACCUUCUUUCACCCUCUGUCGAAUACCUUGCUUUACAUU
Molecule: RNA transcript, 1329 nt
Organism: Ictalurus punctatus (channel catfish)
Lineage: Eukaryota; Metazoa; Chordata; Actinopteri; Siluriformes; Ictaluridae
Gene name: serine/threonine-protein phosphatase 1 regulatory subunit 10
Exons: 7
Source: RefSeq, a predicted model, not a curated record